Molecule: unclassified non-coding RNA, 559 nt
Filed under: Staphylococcus lugdunensis
Lineage: Bacteria; Bacillati; Bacillota; Bacilli; Caryophanales; Staphylococcaceae
Description: 16S-23S ribosomal RNA intergenic spacer
Source: RNAcentral
AAGGAUAUAUUCGGAACAUCUUCUACGAAGAUGCGGAAUAACGUGACAUAUUGUAUUCAGUUUUGAAUGUUUAUUAACAUUCAAAUAAAUCGUUUUAAAAGAGAGCGUUUGACAAAUAAUACUAUUUGCCAAUGCUUCAUUUAAAAUUGAUUGUUGUACAUUGAAAACUAGAUAAGUAAGUAAAUUAGAUUUUACCAAGCAAAACCGAGUGAAUUAGAGUUUUAAAUAAGCUUGAAUUCAUAAGAAAUAAUCGCUAGUGUUCGAAAGAACACUCACAAGAUUAAUAACACAUACACACUUAUAUAAUUUUGAAAGAAAAUGUUUGUCAGGCGAGGCGUUGAAGCAUUUCUAAGCGCAGUUUACUUUUGUAAAUGAGCAUUAGAAAUGAUGAAACAACAAAGCAUGCGMGCGUUUGACUCAAAAUGAAUGAGCUUUAAAAGAAAUCGUAUUCAGAUAAUGAGUUGAACCAUUUUGAAGCACAGUUUACUAAUGUAAAUGAGCAUUUAAAAUGGUGAAACGAAGCCAUAUGAAUGCGAUUGACUUAAAGCACAGUGUGGAA